GAGUUUGAUCUUGGCUCAGAUUGAACGCUGGCGGCAUGCCUUACACAUGCAAGUCGAACGGCAGCACGGAAGCUUGCUCCUGGUGGCGAGUGGCGAACGGGUGAGUAAUGCAUCGGAACGUAUCCUGGAGUGGGGGAUAACGUAGCGAAAGUUACGCUAAUACCGCAUAUUCUGUGAGCAGGAAAGCGGGGGACCUUCGGGCCUCGCGUC
This 210-nucleotide ribosomal RNA is filed under the name bacterium enrichment culture clone ALO1_GLFRUDD03GKKBT. RNAcentral describes it as "partial 16S ribosomal RNA". It matches the Rfam family "Bacterial small subunit ribosomal RNA", at positions 9 to 219 of the family's 1533-position model. The record is from RNAcentral.